AAGAUAUAGGACUUCUUUCCUUAGCAAACAAACAAAAAAUUUGGCAAAAUCUCUAAAAAUUCGGUAACAUUCUAUUAUUUGAACAAAAAUCAAAGCUUGGUAAUUUUAUUGAUACAAAUUGAAGCUCAAAUACCAUAUUGAAAUUCAUUGAUAGAUUUAAUGCCCAUAGAACAAAUUAAGCCAAGCUUAAAUUGUUAAGGGACUAAAGGAUUGACCUAAGUAUGAGUUAGACUUGAACUCAAAGAGUGUGCUGAAAGCUCUAUGAAAUUCAUCAAUACCUUUUAAUGACAAAACACAAGCUUCGUCAUUAUGCAAGACUGAGAAGGUAUCUUAUACUGCAAUUGUAUUUUGUUAUUGCUCCACUGUCUAGCAUGUAGCAUACAAUGCAAGAAAUAUGAACUUUAAGAAAGUGAAUUUAAUGUAUGUCACAACAUAAGAACAUAAAAGAAUUCAUUAGAAAUCCUACAGCAUUUGACACCUAGAGCUUCUGCUUUUGAUUCCCCAUGCUGUUUCACUUCUUUUGCACAACUUUCUUCCUCAUGAAACUUCCAGGUUGAGGGAGAAAUGUUCAGACUUUAGUCUUUUUCCACAAACUUUCAUCUUUUUGUUCUUUUAUGAUGUUAAAGGGUAGUAUAUAUGUGCAGGCAAAUGUAUCUGAUUAUUAGUUUAAAGUAGAAUGGCCAGGAACGAGGAAAUAUUCAUGAUAUUAAAUACAUAACAAAAUUCACUGAAAUAGAAUAGUAGUAGAAGGAGCACAGUGCACCCCAGGCACAUUGCUAGUGCAUGAGAACACCUGAAUAGCUUAAAAAGUUAAAGCUGGAUGGCUAGCAUCCAAUAGAUUGGUUAAAACCAUGACAGUUCCAGAAAAUCCUAAUGACAGGAUUAGAAAACCAGGAAAGAAGACUUCUUCCCAUUUACUGUUGCUUUAGACAAGGUGCUCCACACCUUCAAAAGAACUGCUAUUCCUCUCCACCCAUAAAUUUUCAACAUCAAGCACAUUAGUUUCCACACAAAAUAGCUUGAAUGUUGCUUUUAAAAAUUUUGCAACACAUUGUAACAAUGCAAAAGACAAAAUCACACAAAUCAAUUUCGAAAUAGUUGCUCCUCUCUUAGAUAGAUUUCACUGUAACGAAAUAUAAAGGGACCCAAAGCAUAUUUAUGUAAGAAGAAAGAAAAAAAGGUUGAUUAUUCUUUCUUUAAUCUUAAUAUAUAUGUCCUUACAACAUUUUAUGUCAAUUUUAUGUUUGCAUUUUUUCUCCUUUUCUAUGAAUAAUUUUUCAUACAUGUAAUUCACAAUUUCAUGAUGUAGCAGCCAAGUCCAAAGCUAUUAGAAUUUACAAAAAUUCCUCAUGAUAAAUGAAAUCACAAUUAGUUUCUUUUAAAAAAUUUAUCAAUGUUUUUGUGCAUGACACAUGCCAUAUGAACAUGAUGGAUUUAGCAGAUUCCUAAUUAGAAUAGCCAGUCAGCCACUAGCAACAAAAAUUAACAAAUUUUGCAACUGUUUAUACUAGUUUGGGCAACAUAAAAGUUUAUCAGGGUCCAUCAGCUCCCAAUCAUCAAUUUAUAGAUUAAUAUGAUGUCAAAAGACGCUUCUAUACAAAAAUAUUACCCUUCUCAUUGGUGAGAUGUUGAGAGCUAACUCCAUGAAGAGCUAUAAACUUGAUAACAUCAGCUACUGCCAUGUCUCCUUCAUAAGAGACAGAGGUCUUCCUCUCAGCUGGAAAUAACAAUAGAGCAGGGUAAACUUCCCUCUGAUUUAUUGAUUUUAGAAUCAAACUGCAAUCAUUCAAUGUGCAAUCCAUUAAGAAGAUUUUGGGAAACUUCAAAUUACCAUUCUUCAGGUUAUCAAUAAGCACUGUUUCCUCAUUCCAAGAUCCAGUCUUCAACAUGUUCACAUGUCCUUUUAUGGCCCGAUAAACUUCACGAACAACCAACUCCAUUCUCUGACAAAAUCCACACCAACUAUUGCUAAAUAGGACCAACACAUCCUCUUUCCAAGCAUGGGAAGCAUUAUCAUCAUCAGAUUGAUUAAAACCAAUAACCUGCUCAGUGAAAGUUUGAGCUGUAACUCGAGGGAUGGAAUCUACUUCGUGGAAAUCCACAUUAACAAAUGGUGGAUGAGUUCCUUCUCUAGGGCUUUCAGGUUCAGACUCGGAGCGUUGGUAUGGGAUAAGCAUUCCGUUGAGAAAUCUAUGAAGAGAAUCCUCCAGUGCAGAAUAGCUGAAAUUCUUCUGCUCAGGAACAUAAUGCUGCUGUGAAAUGGGAUUGAUUAUUACUAAGGAUGGAACCCUUGUCUCACCAGUCAAAGCUCUUAGCAACCGGUAGUUUCCAUCAGAGAAGAAGAAAGAACCCUUAAAACUUUGAAAGUGAAGCUGUUCUUCCUCCAACUGGUCUACUUGUCUAGAAACUUUUUCUUCCGCCUGUACAACUGAAAUAGCUAGCCCACCAUUUGACAUAGGUUGGUCAAGCUUUACAGAUAUUAAAUGUCUACUUGUAUCAACAUGAUUUGUCGUCUCUUCAUCAUUUGGGGAAGGGCAUCUAAUAUCAGUAGGUUGGCAGCUUUUGUCAUGAUUUGAAGCAGAAUCUUUGCCCAGAUCAACACUACUUUUGGCAAGGUCUUCCUCAGAUGGUACAGCUGAAUCUUCUGUAGAUUCCACCUGUGGUUCUGAUGGUAAUUUAUCAGCUCUAAUGUCAAUAUCAUCAGAUAAAAGUUGGAAACCCGCAUCCUUGGCAAUUGAACUUAAUUUUCCUUCUUUCUUUUGCUCAAGAAGAUAUGUUAAGAUUUCACGCAAUGAACUUCCUUGUGAAUCUGAAGCUAAAUUAUCUAAAAUGGCACGUUUUCCCUCAUCUACAAUCAUGAUCGACAUCUUCUCCUUUAACUUAAUCUUCUGUGCCAUUGGAGAUAGUUUUAACCUAGGAUGUCCAGAUAUAAUUUUAUAUUGUUGAAAAACUUGGGCAGAGGAUCGUUCAGACUUGUCACCAUUUUGCUGGCCUAUCUGAUCUGAAAUUCGAUAUUCUAAUGCUAAUUUUCUGAACAUAUCAAGUGCUUCCUUACUACUCCUUUUAGUUUCUGCUGAGUUGGAGAAUCUAUCUACAAACAGAAGUACCGAUGGUUUACUUGCAGGUACAGCAGGAUCAAGAUCUUGUCCAUUACCUUCCAGCUCUGUAACUAUUGAUUCAUCCAUCAGUAGAACUUUCUUAAGGUCAUCCCCCUCUUUUAGAAUCUUUGAACAGCUUGGACAUCCAUUAAAGUAAAGCAUUGUGGACCAUGAACCAGAAUCCCCAACACCAAGAGAUGGAAGCAAUGAUCUUUCUGAAACCAGACCAAAUCUGUACCUCUCAGACGGCAGGAAAAAUUCUCUUGCAACAUUCAUGAAUCCUGAUAAGAAAGAAUCAAAUUGCUGAAACUCUUCAAAGGUACAAGAGGACAAUCCAACAGUAGGUUUUACAUUGUCAGUCUCCAGGAGAGGAGCACUGCCAUUUGCUGAGCUAAAUUCACUCAGCCAAGGAAUUACACCGAACCCAUCUUGGAUGCUGCAUUUUAAACUUGCCAUUUCAGUCCCCUUCUGGUUCUCACUUCCACUGGGCACCGGAAUUGUAACGGCAUCUCCAUUGAAGCCCGCUCCAGCAAAAUCCCCAGUUGCGUUCCUCUUCUUGCUAGCCAUCAACUCAGGAGUCCAUCCACAGAAUUCAAGAAGAAUCAAAGCCUUAUCCGUAGAUUCCAGGAACAUUUUCAGUUCCUCCUGAGUCUUCAGAACCUUGAGGGGAAUUUCAUCAGGCGAAACAGACAUGUAAGGAAGAAUAGAAGAGAGUAUAUUUCCAGCAAUAAGUUUGCCUUGAUACUUGUAAGAUGAAGAGUGAUGGAAGUAUAUAAUCGUUAUCAUUCCCUCUGUAGCUCCAAUAGCAUCCGCUAGCAACUUCUCUUUGUUCCUCAGCAUAUACAUCAACUUUAGAGAUCCAAACUCCUCUCGCCGAUCGCUAACCAAACGGCUUAAUUCCUUCAUCAGGGAUCGAGAUUCCCCUGACCAGGGAACGGAGACCAAGAGGAGGACGUGCGGAUGGAGCCUGAUCUGGGAAGAAAAGUUCUGCUUGGUCAGAAUCUGCCAUUUUCCGUUGCCGUCCGAUUCGCAGUUGACGGCCGACGAAGAUAUGAUGAGGAUUUUUACAAUAAAAGCCACGACAAGAGUCGCCCCUUUCAUUAGUUUAAGCUUGUUCAGUUGUUUGCUGAUUUUGCUUCUCAAUCCCAAAUAGAGAAGAGACGGUUUCGGAUCUUAUUAAG
RNAcentral lists this unclassified non-coding RNA (4279 nucleotides) under Hevea brasiliensis (rubber tree). Lineage: Eukaryota; Viridiplantae; Streptophyta; Magnoliopsida; Malpighiales; Euphorbiaceae. The record is from RNAcentral.